UUUUUUUUUUUUUUUUUUUGGGUCUUUUUUUCGGAGCUGGGGACCAAACCCAGGACCUUGUGCUUCCUAGGCAAGCGCUCUACCACUGAGCUAAAUCCCCAACCCCGUGGUGUUGCAUUUUUGAGCUGCAUUUUUGAGCAUCUAUGGGCUUGGCUUCCUCAGGACAGCCAUUCCUGCUUUCUCAGACCUGCAGGCACCCAGCAGUCUAUUUGAAAUGGCAGGGGAUCUUUACUUUUUGCUUGGUUGGUUCGUUCAUUUCUUCCUUUUAUCCUUAAUGUCUGUACGAUACGUGUGCGUAUAUGACAUGUGCAUGUGUGUUGUUUCCAUAUGAUGUAUGUGUGAGUGAGGGCAUGAGCACUUUAUAAAACAUCUGUGGAGGUCAGAGAUCGCUUUAGGUGAUCCUCCUUGCCUUCCACCAUGUCUAAGGUGGUGAUGGGGUGGGGUGAGGGUGGGUGUGUAUGUGUCUCCUUGAUGUAUCUCCUGGUAGUGUUUCAGGCUUGCUGGCUCUUCCAGAUUCCAUUCUGGCUUUUAUGUGGGUUCUGGGGUUUGAACUCGGGUCCAUAUGCUUACACACAAGCCUUUUCCCCCACUGAGCCAUUCCUUCAGUUCUUUCCCUUUCUCCAAUUCUCCGUCUCUGCUGUCAGCAUGUCGGGAUAAGUUUUAAAGGAUGAUCCUGUUGGGAGUGAGGAUGUGGUUGGGUGGCAGAGUGCAUGAUCAGCACAGGGAAGGCCCUGGGCUUAACCCCCAUCAUUAAUAAAUAGGUACAAACUUGAAAGCUGGGGAGACAGCUCCGCUGAUAAAGUGCUUGUCUUUCAUGUGUGAGGACCUGAGUUCAAACCCCAGCCCCGCAUAAACCACAACUGGUGGCCCAUGCAUGGUGAUCUCAGUGGGGGCAGGAGGGCAGAAUUCCAAGAGCAUCCUGGGUUGAGUUCAAGGACAGUCUGGGACAGA
RNAcentral lists this long non-coding RNA (951 nucleotides) under Rattus norvegicus (Norway rat). Its description in RNAcentral is "long non-coding RNA NONRATT012886". The record is from RNAcentral. Lineage: Eukaryota; Metazoa; Chordata; Mammalia; Rodentia; Muridae.